RNAcentral lists this long non-coding RNA (221 nucleotides) under Elaeis guineensis (African oil palm). RNAcentral's name for it is "long non-coding RNA (EGUI_LNC051296)". The record is from RNAcentral. Lineage: Eukaryota; Viridiplantae; Streptophyta; Magnoliopsida; Arecales; Arecaceae.
GACGCUGCUCUAUGGCAAGGAGACCCUGGAGUAUGAAGAUAUGGUCUCGGUGCUGCGGUCCAAUGAACAAUGGAAAAAGUUAACCAAGGAAGGUGCUCCCCAGGAGGGCUUGGUUGUGGGGGAGAGAUCAGGAAGAGGAAGAAAAAGAGGCAAGUCAAGGGGACAAUCAAAGUCUCGAAAGAGCAGGAGCAAGAAGGAAGCCUGGUGCUACAAGUGCAAUG